CCUACGGGUGGCAGCAGUGAGGAAUAUUGGUCAAUGGGCGGAAGCCUGAACCAGCCAAGUCGCGUGAGGGAAUAAGGCCCUACGGGUCAUAAACCUCUUUUGCCGGGGAGCAAGGGCGGGGAAGUGUCCCGGCCCGGAGAGUACCCGGAGAAAAAGCAUCGGCUAACUCCGUGCCAGCAGCCGCGGUAAUACGGAGGAUGCGAGCGUUAUCCGGAUUUAUUGGGUUUAAAGGGUGCGUAGGCGGGCUUUUAAGUCAGCGGUAAAAAUUCGGGGCUCAACCCCGUCCGGCCGUUGAGACUGGGGACAUAGAGUGGGCGAGAGGAAGGCGGAAUGCGUGGUGAAGCGGUGAAAUGCAUAGAUAUCACGCAGAACCCCGAUGGCGAAGGCAGACUUCCGGCGCCCUACUGACGCUGAGGGACGAAAGUGCGGGGAUCGAACAGGAUUAGAUACCCUUGUAGUC
Molecule: ribosomal RNA, 460 nt
Filed under: uncultured bacterium
Lineage: Bacteria
Description: partial 16S ribosomal RNA
Rfam family: Bacterial small subunit ribosomal RNA
Source: RNAcentral